UUUCCUUCGUACGUAAAUUCGAAAAGGUACAUCGCGCGCCAUCUAUCGUCGAAUCUCGAGGCGCGAAGUCAGGUGAAGUCCCUAAUGACGGCCGAUUCACGGCACGGUUAAAUCGUUUAACGCGGCUUUACAUCAUAAUGGUGGGAUAUAACUGGCGGCACAGUUGCGCGACAACCGUGGCGGGGAUUAAAACAGCGUGAUAUCCGCGGAAAUCAACAAGCUGUCGGGCACAGGUGACAAUACGAGUGGCUCGUGUUCAUUGUUAGAAACUGAACGCGAUAAAAAUCGUGGCGGCAAAAAACGCGGGCACCGGCGAGACAAUAGCACGAAAAUUCAGCCUCCCUUCCUCUCUCCCUCUCUUCUGUGUAAUAAACCCGGUUACAAUUCUGCGUGAACUUCCCGUGACUUUUUUCCACCGCCUGUGUUGACCAUCUACACCGUCGCGCGAUCAUUUUUAUGCCUGUUGAAAUCGCAUUUUUUAUCCCCGCUCGUAAAGGGAACCACGUGUAACAAUUUUGCCGGAAAUUUCAAUCGUCAACCAGUUUUUCGGAAGAAUUUCUGGUAAAUUAUUUAUCUUCUCUCUUCACGCGGAGAUUGCGGCUGCUUGUUCCAUCGUGUGAGAGAUUGCAGGAAUCGGAUCGAUUAUGACGCUUUUGGUAACAAUUUAUCUUCGCGAAAAUAAUAAGAAGUUUUGAGAAAUCAAAGGAAGAGACGAGAUCUUUCAGAUUCAGAAACGAAAAAAAAAAGAAGGAAGGAGGAGGGGGUUUAUCGUUGCUGAGAUUAAAAUAAACUUUAUUUAACGUUAUGUUGUAUCCAUUCACGGGGGAGCGGGCUUACACCGGGAACUGUCUUCGUCGUUGGAUAAAACUUGUUAGAAGGGAAUGAAAGAGCGACAAAAUAAAACCAAUUAUUUUGAAAAUGCGCCAGCCUCGUCGGGACACUGUUAUUUCGCUCGGAGCGUAUCUGCAUAAAUGCAUAAUGAUUCUAUUAUUUUAUAAUUUCCCGGUCCUCGGCCCCGGCUGCACACCGAGAAACUCAAUUUGUAGAAUUAUAUGUAAAUUGCGUAUGAAGUUAUAUUGUUCGCGCAUUCGCAAGUCGAAGCAUGAUUACUUUUAACUUUGGCGUUCCUUCCUGCACGAUGGAGAACGUUAAGUACAAAGUGUUAUAUACGUGAAAACGUCACUCGCUGCGAGGAAAGUGGAAUUUUUCACGUUAUGAUCUAAAUGAUCUAUUUAAAAUUGGUGAAAUUGAUCGAUGGUUCAAUGAAAGAAUAAAUAAGGGAUAUGGAUA
Molecule: long non-coding RNA, 1290 nt
Organism: Apis mellifera (honey bee)
Lineage: Eukaryota; Metazoa; Arthropoda; Insecta; Hymenoptera; Apidae
Exons: 2
Source: RefSeq, a predicted model, not a curated record